Molecule: ribosomal RNA, 506 nt
Filed under: uncultured bacterium
Lineage: Bacteria
Description: bacterial SSU rRNA
Rfam family: Bacterial small subunit ribosomal RNA
Source: RNAcentral
AACGAACGCUGGCGGCGCGUCUUAAGCAUGCAAGUCGAACGGCAAGGCAGGUGCUUGCACCUGCCCUAGAGUGGCGGACUGGUGAGUAACACGUGGGUGACAUGCCUUUAGUUGGGGAUAGCUACUAGAAAUAGUAGAUAAUACCGAAUGUGAUCAAUAUUUUAUAGAUGAUGUUGAGGAAAGGAGCUAAGGCUUCGCUAAAAGAUUGGCCCGCGGCCCAUUAGCUAGUUGGUAAGGGUAAAGGCUUACCAAGGCGAUGAUGGGUAUCCGGCCUGAGAGGGUGAUCGGACACAUUGGGACUGAGAUACGGCCCAGACUCCUACGGGAGGCAGCAGCUAAGAAUAUUCCACAAUGGACGAAGUCUGAUGGAGCGACGCCGCGUGGAUGAUAGAAGGCCGAAAGGUUGUAAAAUCCUUUUACACUGGAGGAAUAAGCAGAGUAGGGAAUGACUCUGUGAUGACUGUACAGUUUGAAUAAGCAACGGCUAAUUACGUGCCAGCCGCGGC